UAUUCUGAGAGUAGGUUCUUGUCUCCUUCCUCUGUAUAUAAAAACUGUUUAAAACUGUACAACAUAAUAGUGUUUUUGGAAAACUGGUUCAUACAGUAUAUCCUGAAGUCAAUAGCGAAUAUGGCUAUGUAUAUAUUUAAUUUGCCGUUAAUGUAUUGAAGACCUAUUUCAGCAAGUUAACCAAGUUUUUACUGGCUUAGCUAGCCAUGUUAAUGAUGAGCUAACUAGCACCGUUGGUCACUGCACUACAAUGUCACGCUAGCUAUUGCCAGCAGGUGAUUUGCUAGCAGGUGGCUUAUUAAAAUAUUAAGUGAAUGUUUAUUUUAUUACUCCCUUAAAAGGUUUAUAUAAAAGGGUUGUACUUGUGCUCUGUAUUAAAGGAUUAAUAUCAGUUCACAUUGAGGGUAUGUAUCGCUACUGUUGCUCCUAUCUAAAAUGUAUCUUGUGUGAUACCUAACCAGUGAACGUGUGGCUGUGACCGUCCUGUCAAUGCCUGUCAUCACUGUUUGAUAUCUUUUACUUACUAAAAACCUAGUCAACCUGGAGUGCGGGUGUCCGUGUGCCUUUCUUCUGAGGGGCUAUGUAAAGUUGGUUACAUCAGCAAGGGACACACUUUGUAUGUGGACAAUUGGUACAGCAUUCCCAGUAUUCCAGCAUCUGCUCUCCAACAGCACAGGGGCCUGUAGCACAGUCAAGUCGAACAGGAGGGGGAUGCCGGCAUUCGGAUGCAGGAAGAUGAAGAGAGGGGAGGUGGAGUUCAAGGAGAACGGUCAACAGCUGGCAGUAAAGUGGCAUGACAAACGAGACGUCCAUGUCCUCUCCACUGUCCAUACAGCAACCAUGUCUUCCACAGGGAAGGUGGACCAACUGACGGGAGAGAGAAAAAUCAAACCAGACUAACAGAUAAAGUAAUUACCUACCAAAAGUACAGAGAGAACCUCAUGAGAGAGCUGCUGGAGGAGCACCACACACAUCGACGCCCAUCCACUGGGGGUCGUCAUGCUGCGGACAAUCCCCUAAGCCUCACUGCACGGCAUUUUCCCUGCAAAGUCCCUCAAACUGCUGCUCAAGGUAGUCGCACACGGAGGCACUUGUCACGGGCCGGCUCAUAACCUGUGACAAAAAUGAGGGGACACGAAGAACAGGAGGAACCGCCACUGCAAUGCAGAGGAGGGGUCAUGACACACUGCAAAGUUUGCAUGUCUGGCACCAGGAGAAGAAAGCAGAGGAAGUUGUCAAAAUACAUGCAUUUAGCUUGUGAUACACCUCUAUGUAUUUCACCAUGCUUUGGGGAGUAUCAUAUGCUCAAGCGAUAUUGAGCACAUCUGCAGCAAUUAGUGACUGACUGACCUGACAGGUGACCUUCCAUGAUAGUAGUUGUUGUUCAAUCACGGCAUGAAUAUUAAAUACGGGUUAUGCAUAUUCAGUCUUUUUUCCUCUAGUUAAACUUGUUCAACCAACCACCACCAUUACUGCAAUAAAAUAGACGACUAUUCCA
Salvelinus fontinalis (brook trout) is the source of this 1498-nucleotide long non-coding RNA. RefSeq lists it as uncharacterized. The record is from RefSeq and is a predicted model, not a curated record. The transcript has 3 exons. NCBI's taxonomy places the organism in Eukaryota, Metazoa, Chordata, Actinopteri, Salmoniformes, Salmonidae.